GUCCUUCAAAAUUAAGUCCCGAGGGGCUACAUUGGGUUCGCCGGCGCAAGCUGGCUAUGGCGAUAAACGGCCCGUGCAAUAAGCGGAUCGGACCCGGGGGCGGUACCCGGCGGCUCCACCGGAGCCUCUUUUCGAGGAGGUUGCGGCGGGGCCGAAAUAGGAUCGACGAGCGUGUAAAGACGACGCUUUCGCCCGGUUGGCCUCCGUUAUUUGGCCAAGACCUAUAGUUGCCAACGACAACUAUCGGAACGAGCUCGCUCUCGCUGCGUAAUGCGGCUGAGCUGCUCACUUUGAAGUCCUAGCCCUUUUCCCGGGUUAGGCGGGGCCCCCGGCGCCUGGCAACAGAAGCCGGGACU
This 356-nucleotide transfer-messenger RNA is filed under the name Rhodomicrobium sp. It matches the Rfam family "Alphaproteobacteria transfer-messenger RNA". Rfam says of the family: Bacterial tmRNA, also known as 10Sa RNA or SsrA, is named for its dual tRNA and mRNA-like properties. The record is from RNAcentral. Lineage: Bacteria; Pseudomonadati; Pseudomonadota; Alphaproteobacteria; Hyphomicrobiales; Hyphomicrobiaceae.